Molecule: non-coding RNA, 11867 nt
Organism: Nothobranchius furzeri (turquoise killifish)
Lineage: Eukaryota; Metazoa; Chordata; Actinopteri; Cyprinodontiformes; Nothobranchiidae
Source: RefSeq, a predicted model, not a curated record
GCGCCUCUUCUCUCGCCAUUGCGCUCAUUGUCUCGCUGCUGAAUCCGCGUCGGUUCGGAUGCUGCUCCAUCAAACCGUAGGCUGUUUUAUUAUUAUCCCAGCGGUGAGGACCUGACUCCGCACGCACAAACUCACACACACACACACACACACACACACACGGACAAACCAUAUGCGUGGAUUUCGGCUCUUUUUCCCUUCUUCGCCAAUGCAACAGGAAAUAUGCAGCGGAUCUUCGCCAUCCUCUACACCAGUUUACUGGGGAUAUGCUUGGGUUCGGGUUCGAGUUUCCCAAGUAACAUCAAUAUAGGAGGGUUGUUCCCCACCGACUCGCAUGAAUAUGAGGUGUUCCGGUUCGCCUUGUCUCACCACCAGGACAUCCCCAAGCUGGUGCCGCAGGUGGAUAUGGUCAAAUUGGGAAACAGCUUCUCCAUGACAUAUGCCUUUUGCUCCCAGUUCUCCAAAGGAGUGUACGCCAUCAUUGGGCUGUAUGACAGGAAGACCGUCAACAUGCUCAUGUCCUUCUGCGGAGCGCUGCACGUCUGCUUUGUUUCGCCGUCCUUCCCCAUCGAGACAGCCAACCAGUUUGUCAUCCAGCUGAGGCCUGAGCUUCAGGAUGCCCUGGUGGGAGUCAUCGAUCACUACGGCUGGACCAAGUUUGUCUACAUGUACAGUUCUGACUCAGGACUGUCAGUUUUGCAGAAGGUUCUGGACACGGCAGCAGAGAGGAACUGGCUGGUGACCUCAGUCAAUGUGGAGACCAUGACAGAGGCCUCCUUUCUGAAGGUGUUCCAGGAUCUGGACAAGAGGAAGGAGGGACAGAUCAUCAUCGACUGUGAGACAGAGAGGCUCACUGGCAUCCUCAAAAAAAUUGUUGAACAAGGAAAGAAUGCAAAGAGCUACCACUACAUCCUCGCCAACCUGGGGUUCCUCGACAUUGACCUGACAGACCUGAGGAAAGGUGGUGCCAACAUCACCGGCUUCCAGCUCGUCAACCACUCGGAUCCGAGCGUGAGCCGCGUCGCCCAGCAGUGGAUGGAGUUCGACAACAAAGAUUCUAAAAUGCCCAAGACUGGACUCAAAUACACGGGUGCUCUGACAUACGACGGGGUGAAAGUCAUGUCCACGGCCUUCCAGAACUUAAGGAGACAGAGGAUAGACAUCUCUCGCCGGGGCAAUGCUGGAGAGUGUCUCGCUAACCCGCCAACCCCUUGGGGACAGGGCAUUGAUAUCCAGAGAGCUUUGCAGCAGGUCCGUAUCGAUGGACUGACGGGUCACAUUCAGUUUAAUGAGAAAGGCCGCAGAACCAACUACACUGUCUGUGUCAUGGAACUGGCUCCAUCUGGACCCAACAAGGUUGGCUACUGGAAUGAAGAGGAGAGAUACGUGACCACAGCCAGCCAAGUGAGGAACAACGACACUUAUGGACUGCUGAACAGGACAUAUAUAGUCACGACUAUUGUGGAGUCUCCGUACGUGAUGCUUAAGAAGAACCAUGAGCAGCUUGCGGGGAACGAUAAGUAUGAGGGCUACAUUGUCGAGCUGGCUGCUGAGAUCGCCAAGCACGUGGGCUACCAGUACAAACUAAAAAUUGUCUCUGAUGGGAAGUACGGAGCCAGGGAUCCUGAAACCAAGAUGUGGAACGGCAUGGUCGGGGAACUGGUGUACGGAAAAGCAGACCUGGCAGUGGCUCCUCUAACUAUCACUCUCGUUCGUGAGGAAGUGAUAGACUUCUCCAAGCCCUUUAUGUCUCUGGGUAUUUCCAUCAUGAUCAAGAAACCUACCAAAUCUAAGCCUGGCGUGUUCUCGUUUCUGGACCCACUGGCUUAUGAGAUCUGGAUGUGCAUCGUCUUUGCCUACAUCGGCGUCAGCGUUGUCCUUUUCCUCGUCAGUCGAUUCAGCCCGUAUGAGUGGCACUCUGAGGACUGCGAUGAGGGAUGCGAGCCACAGACUCCCACACAGGCAGCAGCCACCAACGGCAUGCAGCAGAGCCAGACGCCAGCGCAGCAGAAUGCCAGUCAGCAGAGUCCAGAACAAACCAAUGAGUUUGGCAUCUUCAAUUCCCUUUGGUUUUCUCUGGGCGCCUUCAUGCAGCAGGGCUGUGAUAUCUCACCACGGUCUCUGUCGGGUCGGAUUGUUGGUGGAGUCUGGUGGUUCUUCACGCUCAUCAUCAUCUCAUCCUAUACGGCCAACUUGGCUGCCUUCCUUACGGUGGAGAGGAUGGUGUCACCUAUAGAGAGUGCAGAGGAUCUGGCUAAGCAGACAGAGAUCGCCUACGGAACUCUAGACGCCGGCGCCACCAAGGAGUUCUUCAGAAGGUCAAAAAUCGCUGUGUUUGAGAAGAUGUGGUCGUACAUGAAAUCGGCCGACCCGUCCGUGUUUGUCAAAACGACGGAUGAAGGCAAGAUGAGAGUUAGGAAGUCCAAGGGGAAGUAUGCCUACCUGCUGGAAUCCACAAUGAAUGAGUACAUCGAGCAGAGGAAACCCUGCGACACGAUGAAGGUGGGGGGAAACCUGGACUCCAAAGGUUAUGGAAUUGCCACUCCUAAGGGCUCCCACCUCAGAAACCCAGUAAACCUGGCAGUGUUAAAACUGAACGAGCAGGGCCUCUUGGACAAAUUGAAAAACAAGUGGUGGUACGACAAGGGAGAGUGCGGCAGCGGGGGCGGGGACUCCAAGGACAAGACGAGCGCUCUGAGCCUCAGCAACGUGGCGGGAGUUUUCUACAUCCUGAUCGGGGGGCUGGGCCUGGCCAUGCUAGUGGCUCUGGUGGAGUUCUGCUACAAGUCCCGGACCGAGUCGCGCCGAAUGAAGGUGUCCACCGCACGAGCUGCUGCAGCCACAGCCGCUCAGGCCUUUCACUGCUCAGCCUUAGAAAGUGGUGCUAGCGCCACCUACGCAGAGCUGCAGAGCUACGGCCUGUACGCCAACAACACUGUUAAGAUAUAAGGGCAGAGCACGGCCAUGGGGUAGGAAAUGCUGCGAUGUAACCCUGAUGAUGAUGCAUUUGCCUCCACCCCGUCCUGCCCAUCUACCCGUGACAGCAGUAGGGCCACUCAUGGCUUCCACCGCAGUGCCAAAGCUCUCCUGUACCCUCUCUCUGCCUCUGCCGCUUCUUUGCUCAGUCUUUGUCACAGAUUUACAGUGUCUGGAAAUCACUUGAUUUUAAAAUUGCCAUUAUGCCUGUUCAUCGUGCUUUCUUGAGAUUCCAACAUCCUAACAUUUGGGCUAGUCCAUGCCAGUUCAAUGCACUUUUUACUAUGUUUAAUCUUUCUUUUUUUUUUUAUUGUGAUCCUUUUUUUAUGUUAAUUGUGAGUCCCUGUGGCUUGAACAUCCCAAAUUGUAGAACCACUGGCAUACAUUUAAUCAUGGAGCGCUUUAUUUACACAUUCAUGCCUUUAUUACAGUUGUAGACCACUUUUAACAUAAAAAAUAUUUAAUGUAUUAACAAAAGUAUUUUUUGUCUUUGUGAAUUUAGCAUUUCCCCUUUGACAGUUAUUGCACAUUUGACUUUACAUAUUUAUUUGACCGAUUUGAGCAAGAUUUAAGCAGUUGUAGCUUUAAAACUGCAUAUAUCCCUUAAAAAACAGAUAUGAAUAAAAACAAAUGACUGCAGUACUGAUGCAACAAAGUAAUGUUUCAUCCUUUACCAGAAUUUUUGCAUGUGGCGCAUACUUGUAUGUUUUGUAUUACAAUCACCCAGAUGAAAUUUAAAAAUAAAUCAAAAAACAAAUUAGUAAUAUUUCUGCCACAUUGGAAGGUGGGGAAGACCCAAAAUACACACACAGAGAUAAACUUUGUCGAAUACAAAGAUUUUGUUAUUAAAAUAAGUCGAAUCAGUUAAAGGUGCAUUAUGUAAGAAUGAAGUAAGAAUGACAUCCAGUGGUCAAAUGUGGUAACUGCAGGCCAUUUUGUCAACACCAUGACCCGAAUUUCACAGAAGAAGAAAAUAUAAUUUCUAUAGCGCCUCUCACGAUAAAAAUCACGAGGAGCUUCACAAAAACAAAAAAUUUAAAAAUAUAAAAAAGCAUUUAGAAAAUGUUUAAAAAUAUGUUUAAAAUGAUCAAAAAUAGACAAUUGGGAUUUAAAAGAAAAAAUGUUAAGAGAGAGAGUGAACAGGAAAGAGGGAAAUCGGUGGAUCCUGAGGAAGGUGGAAUAGGUGGGGAGAGCAGAAUAAAGAGAGAGGAGUUGAAGAAGGUCAUACAAAAGCCAGCUUGACCAAGUGAGUCUUCAGCUGCUUUUUGAAGGAGACCACUGAGUCCACUGAUCUCAGGCUCAGGGGGAAAGAGUUCCAGAGUCUGGGGGCCACAGCAGCAAAUGAUCUGUCACCUUUGGUCUUUAGCCUGGUGCUGCACAACCAGUAGGCUUUGGUCACUGGUUCUCAGGGACCUGCUGGGGGUGUAGGGACUGAGAAGAUCACCCAUGUAAGAUGGUGCUUGUCCAUGUAAGGCCCUAUAGACCAGAACCAGGAUCUUGAAAUGAACCCUGAAGUUGACUGGCAGCCAGUGAAGCUGGAGGAGAAGCGGGGUGAUGUGGGUGUGUUUGGAGGACUUGGUCAGAAGCCGAGCACAGGCAUUCUGAACCACCUGUAGACGGUUCAGGGAGGUUCUGCUCAGACACGUGAAAAGAGAGUUGCAGUAGUCUAAGCGUGAGGAGAUGAAGGUGUGGAGAACUGUCUCAAGUUCAGAGCGGGACAGAUUGGGACUCAGCAAUGUUACUGAGAUGGAAGAAGGAAGAGCGAACAAGAGAACUGACAUGAGAAUCCAGGGUGAGAGCUGGGUCAAAGGUCACACCAAUAUUCCUGACAGAGGGUUUGGUGUGAGUAGCAAGCUGACCAAGAGAGUCUCUGACUUUGGGAACCAGCUUGUCUGGGGCACAGAUGAGGAUCUCAGUCUUAUCUUCAUCCAGCUGUAGAAAGUUCCCAGCCAUCCAGGUUUUGAUAGAGUCUAAGCAGGUGUGUAACAGCUGCAGCUUAGACAUCUCACGGGGCUUAAAGGAGAUGUACAGUUGGAUGUCAUCUGCAUAAAGAUGGUAGGAGAUUCCUUUGAAGGAGCUCAGGAUGUGCUGAAGAGGAAGCAGAUAGAGGAGGAAGACCAGAUGCCCCAGCACAGAACCUUGUGGGACACCAUGGGUAAGAGAGGUGGUGGAGGAUCUAAACUUGGAGAUGGCCACAGAAAAGGAGCGCUCAGAAAGAUAAGAGGAGAACCACUCCAGAGCAGUUCCUGAUAGGCCUUUCCAGUCUCUCAGCCUCUCCAGUAGCAGGUGAUGGUCAACAGUGCCAAAGGCUGCAGUCAGGUCCAGCAGGACCAGAACAGUCCCCUGCAUCACUGUGAGUCAGAAGGUCAUUAGAGACCCUAAGAAGAGCUGUUUCAGUAGAAUGAGCUCUACGAAAUCCUGACUGGAAGCUAUCAUAGAUGUUAUGUUCAUCAAGAGCAGCUGUGAGUUGUUUAGCCACAACCUUUUCCAAGAUUUUGGAGAUGAACGGAAGUUUAGAGCUGGGUCUGAAGCUGCUAUGGAGAGAGGGGUCGAGACUCGUUUUUUUAAGAAGCGGGUGGAUUACAGCGUUCUUAAAGUAAGCAGGGACCUGACCAGAGACCAGAGAAGCAUUAAUUAUAGAGAGCACACUGGGACCGAUGGACUGAAAAGCACUUUUAAACAAAGAUGAGGGUAAGAUGUCGAGGGGGCAUGCAGAGGUCUUCAUAGAGUUAACACAGUUAACACAGCUGUUCCAGCUACAGCUCAGCGCCAGCAGAUUCCAGAUGAUGAGUGAAAACGAAUCUCACACAGUCAGUCGAUAAGCAAAUAAAAACAUUUCACCGUAACAUUGAAAUGUUGGUUAAUGAAAGAGUAGCUUUUUAGAGCUGACUUGUGUGUCAUGGCCAACAUACAUUUUCAUAUUUUAAUUUUAAAACAAAGCCUGGCACAUUUUAAAUUAAAACACAAAGAAACAAAGGCCAGCACAAGAUGCUUUCACCUUACAGCAUGUCACCAAAUUAUGAACUGUUUAAUGUCAUAAUAUACAAUUUAAGUCUGAUUUUCUGCAUCGUAGGUUUCUAUUUAUAUUCAGCUCACAAAUGUUCCAAGCAGGGUACUUGUUAAAUCCCAUUACCAAACUCAUUACUGUAAUCUUUUGUACCCUUUUCAUAAAUUUGACUUUCAGCACAGGUAUAAAGGCAAUUUGAAUCACAGUGGUACAUCAAUCUACCUCUGUCGCUCUGAGCAGUUCUGUCCCCUCCUCUCUUUUUGCUGACUGCAGGGCCCAUUGUGGUGAACAUCGUUUCUAUGUAAACCACGAGGCAGUCGUGGUUCGGCUCGCAUGUCUUCCAUCACCGCUUCAGCCUAAAACCCAAUAAAUCUACCUUGUUGUGUGUUCAGAGAUGUGAAAUUGAGGACUUGUUGCUUCACUCUUCACCAGAAGAUCAAUCCAUCAACGACGCCAUGCGCUGCUCCACCUUGACCAGGAUGAGUGGUAAUGGGAGCGGAGGAGAGAAUGGACGAAUCCUCACCCACGACUUCCCCAAGACCGUUCAGACACUGCCCUGUAUGAGCCACACAGCCAGCAUGGGACUGGGUGCCUCCGGCAUGUGACUGCCAUCUUACUGUGCCGGCGGCAACCAACUGGCCUGGUGGGGCCAAAGACGAGCACAGGACUCCGAUGACCUCAAAAAUCCUGGCUUGACCAAUCUACUCUCCUGGCUGUUGAUGUGCCCUAUUUAAAAAGAAAAAACUUACAGCCAAAAUGCACUCUCAAACCGCUCCUGACAAACUAUGAACAGAGACACUCAACAUUUUUUUAAUUAUUAUUUUAAACCAAUGGAUGUUUAAAAAGAUAUUGAGAACAAAGAAAGGGAAAUUGUGCUGCAAUAAAGAAGCUGUCAGUGGGGCGUGAUGAAGGAUUUUUUACAGUGUUCGUUUAUGUGGAAAAAAUAACUUUAUUCUUCAGUGUGUCGACUGCGCUGUGCCAUUUUUAUGGAGCUGUUGACUUUCGUGUGCAUUACUCACCGUCACUGCUGACAUUGUGCUACAUGCUUUCCAAUGGCACGUGUCUUUUUGCACAAAUGUCGCAGAAAUAGAUGAUUACUUGUGACUGCUUUUAUCAAUCUGUUUAUGGAACAUUUCCCUUUGCUUUGACUCACGUUUUUCACAAAUUACUUCAUUUUCUAAAUGCUCUGUUCGAUGCACCCAGUUUUAUUAUGAAACGUGGUGUACAGCGUUGCAACAGAGGAGAACCUCAACAGAAGUGGUUUGGUUAAUCGUCAGAUGAACGUUGUGUGAACCAGCAGCUUGACCAGGCUACAACAAACACACAUUGCUGCUAAGCUUCGUAGAACACAUCACGCCUUGUCGUACAUCCUCACAAAUGCACACAGAUCAACUUUAGUCACAGGUACAGUUUUACGGACCAGAGAAACGGAGGUCACAUUUAAAACAUCCACAAAGGUUAAUGUGGGUAAAGAAAUGAAGAAAGCAAAUAUUGUACAGUACUGAGGGACCUUACACUGUUUAGUACUGCAUGCCCACUGAUAAACACGCAAGUUUAUUUGCAACCCAAGUUAAAAAGCAUAGAUUGACUAAUCAAAAUUUUAUGUGAAGAAAGCACCAUUCCCAGUACAUUACAAUGUAGUUUUAGUUGUAUUUCUUUGAAUGAAAUUAACAGCCUUUACAGUUUGCUGAGAAUGGCCCAGGGUGAGGGUUGCCGUAAAUACCAGGGAAGUUAGCUUCAUCUCAUUGUUGCUAGCUAAGGAGGUGGUACAGAUAGGGGUUGGUAGGACUGGCACAAAGAAAGGUAUAUGUUGCAUUUGCAAUAAUGUCCACUGUUCAAAAGUGAAACCAAAACAUCCUUGGGCAAUGAUGUUUUGUAUUUCUGCACCCUUGGCCAAUAUUUAAGUAUCAAAUAAGACAAUACAUCAAAAUUCAUUAAUACAUAUCUGAGCAUAAAGCAGCAUGGUUUGAUUCACUCAAACAUGAGUCAACUACUAGAAAAAUCAUCUGAUGUGUUUUUUGUUUCUUAGUCACAACAAAGCCCCCUUCAUUCACACCCAAGCUCCCAUAACUCUGCAACAAAUUUGAAGUCAAUGAAGAAGUGGCAAAAAUCGUAGUUCCACCCUCCUCCACUAGGGGCUGGCAGCAGAAGAGAGCAAAUCCUCUUUGACUCCCAUGUUAAAAAGGCCCAAUUCACAGCAGAAAUAAACAUGUUUACAGCCUGGUUCAAAAAAACCAUUUUAGGUUUAAUAGAUCUAGUUUACACUCAUGACAAGUCUGAGGGAGGUACAUUUUUUGUAACUCUUCUGUUCAAGUGGAAUUUAAUGCUUAAACAUUUGAAUGAGCCUCCACAUGACUUCAGAGCUAGCUCUGGAGAAAGGCCUCAGCCUGGGCCUCACGUUAAUAGAUGUUCGGCUAUUUUGACUCUCUGAACUUUAGUUUUGUCUGUGUUUGUGUUCGUGUUUGGAUGUUAAUCGUGGAAUUAGUUGGACAAAAGGUCAAGCUGUGGUUACUAACAGAUCAUCCAAGCAGUUUGUGCUUCUUUUCAUCAGUAAGUAAAAAUAGAUUUCUGUACUUUAUUUUGUCGGUUGAACGGGGGAAAUGCUGCCAUUGAAGUGCUUGGUCAAACAUGUUAGUGGAGCUGCAGAAGAACCUUGAGCAGGUGCCCAGCUUCUCCUGUCUCCUGCCUGACAAUAGCAAGCGGCUGGCUGUUCCCGUUUCCCGGGGCAGCCGGGCCGGCUCCGAAGCGAGGCUGUAGUCACGCUGGAUCUCUGAGAGAGACCACAGAAACACCACAGCAAACAUCUUUUGGUUGACGCUGCUUCACUUUUGAGUCGCUCAACAACAUUUUUCAUGCUGAAAACGCCCGGAAAAACUGUUAGCUGUGGGUAAAUAUGUAGCAAAUGUCCCGCUGAUCUCCGGCUCCCAGAGAAGGGGCCAUCAACAAUGGCGGACACGCAAAUCUUUCACCGCGAUGGACCAACGAAGCUUGAUGUCCUUGGUCAGCUUACCUAGUUAUGAAUUUGUUAAUAAGAAGGCCAGAGGUGCCUUUACUGUGGAGUCGCUCUACGGUGUAUUUUUUAUUUAUUUAAUUUUUUUAUCUUUUAUUUGCUGGAAACGGCUGGUAAUACUCUGUUAGCUUCAGGUUAGCCUGUAGCUAAUGUCCGGCUUAUCUCCGACCAUGGAGCAAGAGCUGACAUAAAAGGUCAUGUGUCCGGCUGCGAUCGCACCGGUCUGAGGAUCCACUUCUAAUUUAACAGUCCCAGUCCAUAUUAGAUCUCCACAGGUGAUCAGCAUGACUACAGCUUUGCAUGGGAGCCAGUCUGCCAUGCGGGUGGGAUGUUCCACUCCAAGAAGCCCUUCUUAGCUUCUUGGGUUAGCUAAGUUAGUUAGUAGCUACACUGGUUCAUUUGUUCUAACCCUUUUCCAAACGCAACAGCCCCACCCUUAGCUCCACCUCUUUUCCCAUUUUUGGAUUGUCUGGGCGUGGCGGGACCUGUGACACGGUGAAAAUAACGGUGGUGGGAACCUCCCAUUUGGGAACAAACACCUUUAAUUUGAGUCUAUGGACAUGAAUUGUCCAGGAUGUAUGUCAAUGUUCCCACCAAGGGAACUGUGUACUGGGACCUGCCACUAGGGGGCAUUCACUUUGUUUAAUUGCUGUCUUUCUUUGCUGUGUUCAGUCAUACAUGCCAAUGUGAAUCAGAGAUUAAGCUCACUGUUGAUGAGUAACAUUUUAGCCGAGGAGUUCUUCCUCUCACAACAUGUCAAGGAAAGAAAUUCAGAUGUCUGGGUAAAAGGAUUUCUCAGGAAACCAGCACCCUGGAUUUUGCCUGUGAGCAGUUGACCAUUUUCACAUAGAAAAAUGGGUAGAUUGCUAUGAUUUAGGCAUUUAAACACAUUUGAACCAGCAUCAGGUUGCUGCUACUCUGUUUUCAUCUGGAUUCUUUAUUUGUGGCAAAAGCAGAAGCUGUUGUCACCAGUGACGUCUGGUUUACUUACAUAAUACUUCUGCAUGAUUAAUCAUGCAAAUUAUUAUACAAAUAUGGAGAUGUUUUCAGACUGUUGUCACCUAAUCCAUUUAGUGACACUGCUCAGAUGUGCAGAUCUUAUCAACCUGCUUAGAAAAAAUACUUAGUUUUAGUCAGUUUUAUCCUAAAAUCUUUCCUUUUUAUAGUGGAAUGCACUGAUUUAUUUUUCUAAUAAUUAUGAUUAUUUUCACGCUCCUACAGUGGAAAUUUCCCUGUGGGCUCAUUUGAAUUCUGACAGCAGCUCUGCUUUCGUUAUAUAAAGAAAUUACCCUAAGAUGUUAAUUUGCCACUUCAUGAGCAUUCUCCAUUUUUUUAUUUUUGACAAAAGAAAAGUUCCGGGCAAAAGAUUUUUUUACAAAAAGGAGCAUCAUCUUGUUUGGCAAAAUCAGCAACAAACCAUUUACUUUCAGUUAACAAACCAUUUUGAAUGGCUUAUUUUGAUGAAACUCUCAGUUUAUGGCCUGUUAAUGUAAGAAUUUCAGCAUUGGUAAUAACCACCUAAUAACAGCUUAAUAAUGACUAAUUAAGACUUAGUAGUCCACUAAUAUGCAUAUUAAUUGGUAGCUAAUUUAUGGUUAAUUUGUGUUCCCUAAACUAAAGUGUUACCCAAAAAACAUAAUAGGGUUUUAAAAAGCACCAUUCUCGUAUCCCUGUAAAGCCUAAAUAGAUUACGUAUAAACAUCUGUGAAAACCUGUCAAUAUAAAAUUUUUCAGCCUGAGGUUGAAGGAAAACCGUUUGUUCAGGAGCACACUGACUGUAAUCGGCAUCACUCAGACUUGGUAUUAGUGAGUUUAAAAGUGUGAAUGGUGUGUAUUGUUACUUAAAGUUGACUGAAAUGGAGUUUUUCCUGCUGCUGGGUACCUGAGGUGAGCCUUAGCUUUUGAAGCGCACAUUCAAACUGACCUCUCAUUUCAAAGCAAAGGCCUAGCGCCGGACCAAGGCAGCGCCGUCAUCUCCUGCUUCCACGUUUGGCUGUGCAUUUGGGUUUUUGUGUCUUUUUGAUUAAAAAAGAACUGAAAAGAAAAAAAAACAACAACACAUGGAACCAAUUUUUAUGUGACUUCUCUCAACUUAGUCAUGCAAGCAUGACGACCGGGCAGUCAAAGUUUACUGAAACCACACAUAUCCUGUCAAUGUAUAUAAAUGGAUUUUUAUCACCCUAAAACAUUUGGUCUUCUUACAAAACAACACAUCAGUGUGCCAGAAUUAUUUUCCGUGUGAAUACUUUACUUUCUUUCUUCAUAUGUGUCCUUGCAUUAUUUAUUUAUUUUGCUGAUGAUGUAAUAAUAGUCUAUAGCACACCUUGGUAAAUAGGUUUUAUAAGGCAAAAAAAGAAAAAUAUGAAAGAUUUCUAGAAAAAAAUAAAUGAUUAAACAAAAAGGGAUUAUGUGUUUGGGAAAAGUUGUAAUACUAGAAUAAUGGCACUUUGACAUGUAUAAAUACACACAUACACACACGCUCAAUGGCCCACAGAUGCGUAACAUGUUUUAUUUUACUUCAAUAUGUCACCAUUUGAAAAAAUUUGGUGGUUUUUUUAAGUGCUUAAAAUUUUCAAAUCAUGUGAUUUUGUUUUGUUUUCGUAUUUUAUUACAGCAAUCUAAACUUGGUUUGUUCACCAGAGCAAUUCUUUUGUUUACUCUUUUUGUAUUUUUACUUUGGGAUGGAUUUCAAUUACUUUAAUGAAAACCGUGUUGAAUAAAUUGGUACAUAGUUUAAAAUAUAUUUACUGUAAUGUAUAAGAGAAUAGAACUAUUACGAGUCUGAUUUUUGAAAAUAAAACAUUUUUUUCUAACCAAAGUGUCCUGGAACAAUGUCCUCAUGCUUUUGUAACCGAAUAAAGGAAUAAACUGUGA